RNAcentral lists this long non-coding RNA (1221 nucleotides) under Nicotiana tabacum (common tobacco). RNAcentral describes it as "long non-coding RNA (NTAB_LNC007900)". Lineage: Eukaryota; Viridiplantae; Streptophyta; Magnoliopsida; Solanales; Solanaceae. The record is from RNAcentral.
AGUUUUUACAUAAUUGUAUAUUCAAAAUUUCGAAAUAUUUACAAUAUGUAAUCCUCUAUGAAUCUGAUCAUGCUAGCAAUAUUUUGCCAGAGGCCGCACAGUCUUCUCCUUUCUCUCUUGCCACUACUCGAACUCCACCUUGGUUUGAUCAAUAUCGGUCUUAGCUUGUCAUUGCUGCUCUCUUGAUUCCUCAAAUUUGCCUGCAAUUUUGAUAAAGCAAAUUAACACUAGAAAACAAAAAUAAUUGAUCAUAUAUAAACUUUUCAAUAGGUCCAGAAUGGUCAAAUAUUUUCUAGAGAAGUUUAUAGAUUACCUUCUCAGAAAAAAAAAUUCAUAUGUCUCUCUAAUGACUUAAUUAAUUAUUACAAACUUCACUAAUAUCUCCUUAACAUGCUUAUAUGACCAAUUUAUGAGAUAAUGAAACUCUCAGUAAUUUUAACCAGGAUAGUAAAACUCCAAAUAUUUUACAAUACAACUCAAUCUCUUGCCCUAGAUUUUUUUUUUUAACAAAGCCUUAAUCAAGGAACAAACAUGUAGUCCUACAUUAUCCUUUCAUGGAAAAAUUAUAGGAAAGAAACCUAUAGAUAUAUUAACAUAAACAACAAUGUAACAUACCUAGGAAAUAGCAAGAGAGUCCAUUCGCACCAAUAAAAUGGGAAUAUCAGUAAAAAAAUCCAUAAUUGCCUGUAACUACAUAAGAAAAGGAUCAAAAUUAAUUUCAUAAAAAACUAUUAAAAGCAUUCCCUUAAUCAUAUUUUAGAAGCUUCAACCGUAAACAGAUAUAUUAUUACUGAUAUACCAAUCUAAUAAUAAUGAACAUAUAGAUUAAAAUUUUUCUCUUCCCAAUUUUUCUUUUCCCAAUUAACUAAGAAGAAGAAUAAAUAUACUUUUAUCAAAUCCAGCAUAAGUUACAAAUGAAGUCUGAUGUGCACAUUGAAAAUUGAAAAUAAUAAAGAGGAAGAAAUAAAGUAACCAAAGAAAUAUUGUUAUAUAUAUAGAUAUUUACUAGUGAUAAAAAGUUGAGAUUCAAAGAAGAUAGAAAUUACAUGCAUGUACUAGUGGUUGAAGAAGGCGUUGAGGAAGUGGGUGAGGGUGUGACGGCCGGAGAGGUUAAAAAGAAAUAAGGGGCUAGGUUUUGGGAUCUCAUUCUUGUUUUAUAACCAUAUUCUUUAAUUUUCUAACUUUUUAUGGACAAACAUUAUAAAUGUAAUACAAGUAGUG